CGAGACCAUAGGCGACGACGACGCCAUAAUUCGACAAACAACAACAACAACGACGCUAUAAGAUUUCCCAGUUCUGAUGUUGGAAGGAGUUUGCUGUUCAAUGACUUACAUCACCUGAUUUAAACAUUCUUAUUGACAACUCUGGCAGCCAUGGUGUGCAGUGGACUGGAACCAUUUAACAAAUUUUGGUUAAUGACCACCCAAGGAACAUUUCUGUCAAGUUUCAUCAAAAUCUGAUCAUCAGUUUCUGAGGAGAAGUGGUGUAAAGGUUUUUCCUAUUUUUAGCUCUGGCUGCCAUGUUGUGCAGCGGAACGGAACCAUUUGGGCCAUUUUGUCAAAGACUUUGUUGAGAUGACCCUUGUUAUUAAGUCUCAUAAAGAUUAUGUCAAAAUUGUGACGAGAUAGAAUCGACUUGGUGUUUCACUUACACUUUUCGGCCAUUUAAGUUACUAAAAAUAGCUGUUUCAUAAACUUUCAGAAUGUCACUUAAACGAAAAUUAAUGUUCAGUCUAUAUAUACUUUCCUAUGUAUAAAUGUAAGGUUUUUAAAUUGAUCUUUUUGUGAGAACUUUAUGCUUAUAUGUUUACUCAUAAAUUAUUAUUGUUUACAAAUUAUUUAAAGAUGCUAUACGUGAAAAAUUAAGACAUUAUUUUUUUUUCUAUUAAAGGGAGGUAAUUCAGUAGUAAAAUGUAAUCAAAGCUAUUAAAGCAUGGCAUUUCUUUUCUUACCAUGUUGAUAUUAUUACAGUCUAUUC
Molecule: long non-coding RNA, 754 nt
Organism: Mya arenaria
Lineage: Eukaryota; Metazoa; Mollusca; Bivalvia; Myida; Myidae
Exons: 3
Source: RefSeq, a predicted model, not a curated record